Molecule: long non-coding RNA, 307 nt
Filed under: Calidris pygmaea (Spoon-billed sandpiper)
Lineage: Eukaryota; Metazoa; Chordata; Aves; Charadriiformes; Scolopacidae
Description: lncRNA (ENSCPGG00000008579.1)
Source: RNAcentral
UGCAAGUUCAUGCUUUCAGGGCAAGGUGUGUUGUUUUUUUUUCCUCAACUGUUUUGCAGGAGUGCAAUAAAAGAUAACUAAAGAACAUCUCUUAAAUGAAACUCUUAAGUGGUUGAAAUCUGGAGAAGACUGACCUCUGGCUCAUCUUGCACAAGGAAGCCAAGCAGCCAUGCAACCAUGCAGGACUGGAACUGUUUUCUUCUUGUUGGGUGAAAAUUCAAGCUUUGUUAAAAAAGCUUUACAUUCCUUGCAAACCCAAUCAGGCAUUCAAAACACAUUCAGCUCCCCUGAACACCAAAAGGACUGA